GACGAACGCUGGCGGCGUGCCUAACACAUGCAAGUCGAGCGGGGAUUUAAGUGGAAGUUCUUCGGAAUGGAGAUUUAAAUUCUAGCGGCGGACGGGUGAGUAACGCGUGAACAAUCUGUCCCGGACAGGGGGAUAACACUUGGAAACAGGUGCUAAUACCGCAUAAGACCACGGCCUCGCAUGGGGCUGAGGUAAAAGGAGCAAUCCGGUUCGGGGUGAGUUCGCGUCCGAUUAGCUAGUUGGUGAGGUAACGGCCCACCAAGGCGACGAUCGGUAGCCGGCCUGAGAGGGUGAACGGCCACAUUGGAACUGAGAGGCGGUCCAAACGCCUACGGGAGGCAGCAGUGGGGAAUAUUGGGCAAUGGGCGAAAGCCUGACCCAGCAACGCCGCGUGAGGGAAGAAGGUUUUCGGAUUGUAAACCUCUGUCCUAUGGGACGAAGGAAGUGACGGUACCAUAGGAGGAAGCCCCGGCUAACUACGUG
Molecule: ribosomal RNA, 483 nt
Filed under: uncultured bacterium
Lineage: Bacteria
Description: partial 16S ribosomal RNA
Rfam family: Bacterial small subunit ribosomal RNA
Source: RNAcentral